This 1401-nucleotide ribosomal RNA is filed under the name Plantibacter sp. RNAcentral describes it as "bacterial SSU rRNA". It matches the Rfam family "Bacterial small subunit ribosomal RNA". The record is from RNAcentral. Lineage: Bacteria; Bacillati; Actinomycetota; Actinomycetes; Micrococcales; Microbacteriaceae.
GACGAACGCUGGCGGCGUGCUUAACACAUGCAAGUCGAACGAUGAAGCCCAGCUUGCUGGGUGGAUUAGUGGCGAACGGGUGAGUAACACGUGAGUAACCUGCCCUUGACUCUGGGAUAAGCGUUGGAAACGACGUCUAAUACCGGAUACGAGCUUCCACCGCAUGGUGAGUUGCUGGAAAGAAUUUUGGUCAAGGAUGGACUCGCGGCCUAUCAGCUUGUUGGUGAGGUAAUGGCUCACCAAGGCGACGACGGGUAGCCGGCCUGAGAGGGUGACCGGCCACACUGGGACUGAGACACGGCCCAGACUCCUACGGGAGGCAGCAGUGGGGAAUAUUGCACAAUGGGCGAAAGCCUGAUGCAGCAACGCCGCGUGAGGGACGACGGCCUUCGGGUUGUAAACCUCUUUUAGCAGGGAAGAAGCGAAAGUGACGGUACCUGCAGAAAAAGCACCGGCUAACUACGUGCCAGCAGCCGCGGUAAUACGUAGGGUGCAAGCGUUGUCCGGAAUUAUUGGGCGUAAAGAGCUCGUAGGCGGUUUGUCGCGUCUGCUGUGAAAUCCCGAGGCUCAACCUCGGGUCUGCAGUGGGUACGGGCAGACUAGAGUGCGGUAGGGGAGAUUGGAAUUCCUGGUGUAGCGGUGGAAUGCGCAGAUAUCAGGAGGAACACCGAUGGCGAAGGCAGAUCUCUGGGCCGCUACUGACGCUGAGGAGCGAAAGGGUGGGGAGCAAACAGGCUUAGAUACCCUGGUAGUCCACCCCGUAAACGUUGGGCGCUAGAUGUGGGGACCAUUCCACGGUUUCCGUGUCGUAGCUAACGCAUUAAGCGCCCCGCCUGGGGAGUACGGCCGCAAGGCUAAAACUCAAAGGAAUUGACGGGGGCCCGCACAAGCGGCGGAGCAUGCGGAUUAAUUCGAUGCAACGCGAAGAACCUUACCAAGGCUUGACAUAUACGAGAACGGGCCAGAAAUGGUCAACUCUUUGGACACUCGUAAACAGGUGGUGCAUGGUUGUCGUCAGCUCGUGUCGUGAGAUGUUGGGUUAAGUCCCGCAACGAGCGCAACCCUCGUUCUAUGUUGCCAGCACGUAAUGGUGGGAACUCAUGGGAUACUGCCGGGGUCAACUCGGAGGAAGGUGGGGACGACGUCAAAUCAUCAUGCCCCUUAUGUCUUGGGCUUCACGCAUGCUACAAUGGCCAGUACAAAGGGCUGCAAUACCGUAAGGUGGAGCGAAUCCCAAAAAGCUGGUCCCAGUUCGGAUUGAGGUCUGCAACUCGACCUCAUGAAGUCGGAGUCGCUAGUAAUCGCAGAUCAGCAACGCUGCGGUGAAUACGUUCCCGGGCCUUGUACACACCGCCCGUCAAGUCAUGAAAGUCGGUAACACCCGAAGCCAGUGGCCUAACC